GCCAGCCCAGGAGAGACCCUGAGGCAGAGCAGCAGAAAGCUCCUGGGCCUCAGAGUCAGAGCUCAAAGCCUGUCUCUGCCAGUGUCCACCUGUGGGAUGCUCACAGCAGCCACCUGACAGCCACCAUUUACUGAGCACACCUGGGCCUGCCAGCCUCAGAUCUGCCCUGGACCUUCCCUGCACUGCACCAGAUCUAGACAGGCUGUCCACCGCAGACCCUGUUUCCCAGACCCCCUUGUCACCUGGCUCCCCACUGGCUUUGUCCAGAGGGAGCCUGGAGGGUGGGCAGGUGGAGAACCAGGCUACUUCUCCCUCACUGUUCCUGCCCUGGGGACAUCUCCAGCGGGGUCUGAGUUUCCCCGGGCUCCAGUUCCCGCGGGAUAGACCUCCA
This 391-nucleotide long non-coding RNA is filed under the name Homo sapiens (human). RNAcentral's name for it is "HSALNT0022683". The record is from RNAcentral. Lineage: Eukaryota; Metazoa; Chordata; Mammalia; Primates; Hominidae.